RNAcentral lists this transfer RNA (701 nucleotides) under uncultured cyanobacterium. RNAcentral's name for it is "partial 16S-23S ribosomal RNA intergenic spacer". The stretch from base 256 to 328 matches the Rfam family "tRNA". The record is from RNAcentral. Lineage: Bacteria; Bacillati; Cyanobacteriota.
CAGGGAGACAAAAACUGAUCGUGAUGUCUAGGCUUUUUGUUCCUAGGCCAUGAUCCUGUCACCUUAGGUCGAUCGGUAUCUCAGGUUUUUUAACUACAAAGGAUAUAGCUUUGUUUUUGAUUAAUUUCAGUUCCUAAACUUUGUCUAGGUCACACCCAGCAAGGGUACUCCUGGGCCAUUAGCUCAGGUGGUUAGAGCGCACCCCUGAUAAGGGUGAGGUCCCUGGUUCAAGUCCAGGAUGGCCCAUUCGGUGUUGGGGGUAUAGCUCAGUUGGUAGAGCGCCUGCUUUGCAAGCAGGAUGUCAGCGGUUCGAGUCCGCUUACCUCCACUGAUCACACUCCUGAUAGCCAAUUUAAGGAGAUUACUUUUGCUAGUUGUGAUUUAUUCAUUUAUCUGAAUGACCCUAGCUUCUUAUCAUUCCAAAAUCUAAAUAUGUUUAGUUUUGGUUGAUGAAGAUGCUGGGCUCACUUAAAUUCUCUUGAAUUUUUGUCAGUUCAGUAGAACCUUGAAAACUGCAUAGUGAGUCUGGAAUAAAUAAAGCAUCUCAUAGAUGCAUUAUUUAUUUAAGUUGAAAGUAUAUGUGUAAACAUUGCUUUUCUUACUUAAAAGUAAAUAAUGUUUGAUUCUUGAGUUAAGAGCUUAGGCUCUAUAGAAGAUCUUUAUUCAAAACGAAAAAAGAUUUAAAUUUAUAGAGUUCAAAU